This 601-nucleotide ribosomal RNA is filed under the name uncultured archaeon. RNAcentral's name for it is "bacterial SSU rRNA". It matches the Rfam family "Archaeal small subunit ribosomal RNA", at positions 32 to 639 of the family's 1478-position model. The record is from RNAcentral.
AUCGGAUUGAUACUAAGCCAUGCGAGUCAUUGUAGCAAUACAAGGCAUACGGCUCAGUAACGCGUAGUCAACCUAACCUAUGGACGGGAAUAACCUCGGGAAACUGAGAAUAAUGCCCGAUAGAACAUUAUGCCUGGAAUGGUUUAUGUUCCAAAUGAUUUAUCGCCGUAGGAUGGGACUGCGGCCUAUCAGUUUGUUGGUGAGGUAAUGGCCCACCAAGACUAUUACAGGUACGGGCUCUGAGAGGAGUAGCCCGGAGAUGGGUACUGAGACACGGACCCAGGCCCUAUGGGGCGCAGCAGGCGAGAAAACUUUGCAAUGUGCGAAAGCACGACAAGGUUAAUCCGAGUGGUUUCUGCUAAAGGAACCUUUUGUCAGUCCUAGAAACACUGAUGAAUAAGGGGUGGGCAAGUUCUGGUAUCAGCCGCCGCGGUAAAACCAGCACCUCAAGUGGUCAGGAUGAUUAUUGGGCCUAAAGCAUCCGUAGCCGGCUCUGUAAGUUUUCGGUUAAAUCUGUACGCUCAACGUACAGGCUGCCGGGAAUACUGCAAAGCUAGGGAGUGGGAGAGGUGGACGGUACUCGGUAGGAAGGGGUAAAAUC